AUUUAAAUAGCUUAUAUAGAGCAUAGUAUUGAAGAUACUAAGGAAAAUUAGUUAAUUUUUUAAAUA
Molecule: transfer RNA, 66 nt
Filed under: Sitona callosus
Lineage: Eukaryota; Metazoa; Arthropoda; Insecta; Coleoptera; Curculionidae
Description: tRNA-Phe
Source: RNAcentral